GAUGAACGCUGGCGGCGUGCCUAACACAUGCAAGUCGAGCGAUUCUCUUCGGAGAAGAGCGGCGGACGGGUGAGUAACGCGUGGGUAACCUGCCCUGUGCACACGGAUAACAUACCGAAAGGUAUGCUAAUACGAGAUAAUAUGCUUUUAUCGCAUGGUAGAAGUAUCAAAGCUUUUGCGGUACAGGAUGGACCCGCGUCUGAUUAGCUAGUUGGUAAGGUAACGGCUUACCAAGGCGACGAUCAGUAGCCGACCUGAGAGGGUGAUCGGCCACAUUGGAACUGAGACACGGUCCAAACACCUACGGGUGGCAG
This 314-nucleotide ribosomal RNA is filed under the name uncultured Bacillota bacterium. RNAcentral's name for it is "bacterial SSU rRNA". It matches the Rfam family "Bacterial small subunit ribosomal RNA", at positions 28 to 351 of the family's 1533-position model. Lineage: Bacteria; Bacillati; Bacillota. The record is from RNAcentral.